RNAcentral lists this long non-coding RNA (225 nucleotides) under Nicotiana benthamiana. Its description in RNAcentral is "long non-coding RNA (NBEN_LNC001714)". Lineage: Eukaryota; Viridiplantae; Streptophyta; Magnoliopsida; Solanales; Solanaceae. The record is from RNAcentral.
UUGAUGUUAUGGUAGACUUGCUAAAAUGACUCUUCUAAUUGUCAUGCGAUCAAGAUCUUGUCGUGAUUUUGGAUCUAAGUUUUGUUUCAUUUUAUUUCUUUUUAUUUACCAUCAUUUUGGCUAGAGUUAUAUUCCAAGUCUUGAAUCGAUUUUGGUUUGCAGGCCAUAUUUCUAUGCCCUUUAUUUUAGUUACAUGUUUUUAGGUUCGGUCCAAAUCAUAUAGAU